This 226-nucleotide long non-coding RNA is filed under the name Mytilus galloprovincialis (Mediterranean mussel). The record is from RNAcentral. Lineage: Eukaryota; Metazoa; Mollusca; Bivalvia; Mytilida; Mytilidae.
UUUAGCCACACAAACUUCCACUGUACAUAUCAUCAUGUACAUAAUCCUUGGUUUUUAAUAUUGAUAUGCUUCAUGCAAUUUAAAUUAUUUAUUUACUAAGACUUAGAUAUAAAUACGGAAAUGUUUAUUUAUACACUUUGUAGCACCCAUAAGAUAAAACUCCUAUAAAAGUCAAUCGGAAGCUCCAAACAAAAAGUUUUCCUACAAUAGAUCCUUUUGGUAUGCU